Syngnathus acus (greater pipefish) is the source of this 369-nucleotide long non-coding RNA. RefSeq lists it as uncharacterized. NCBI's taxonomy places the organism in Eukaryota, Metazoa, Chordata, Actinopteri, Syngnathiformes, Syngnathidae. The record is from RefSeq and is a predicted model, not a curated record. The transcript has 3 exons.
CCUGUUCAAAGUAAGAGAUAGCAAAAUAUUGGUGAGUCUUGAAACAUGGACAUCGGUGUGGUUCACCAACUGUAUGUUUGGGCGAAUGCUGGGACAGUGGACUGUACUCCUAAGGGAAAACUCUUCAUCAUCAGGAAAACCUUAAACUUACCGACUCAGCAAUCGAGUCGGAGAUUGUUUAAAGGGGAGACAGAAGACAACUUGGAAAGUGACAGAAGGCAAAAAUAGAAGAACACUCCCUAUGGUGCAUACUUAUGCCAAGAUCAUUGCUAUAACAAUUGUAAAGGCCCAUUCUCAUGAAACAGUAUCUACUCAAUCUACCCUCCCUGCCUGCCUGCCUGCCUGCCUGCCUGCCUGCCUGCCUGCCUG